GUUAUCCGGAAUUAUUGGGCGUAAAGAGCUCGUAGGCGGUUUGUCGCGUCUGCCGUGAAAGUCCGGGGCUCAACUCCGGAUCUGCGGUGGGUACGGGCAGACUAGAGUGAUGUAGGGGAGACUGGAAUUCCUGGUGUAGCGGUGAAAUGCGCAGAUAUCAGGAGGAACACCGAUGGCGAAGGCAGGUCUCUGGGCAGUAACUGACGCUGAGGAGCGAAAGCGUGGGGAGCGAACAGG
Molecule: ribosomal RNA, 237 nt
Filed under: uncultured bacterium
Lineage: Bacteria
Description: partial 16S ribosomal RNA
Rfam family: Bacterial small subunit ribosomal RNA
Source: RNAcentral